Long non-coding RNA from Cornus florida, 896 nucleotides. RefSeq lists it as uncharacterized. Lineage: Eukaryota; Viridiplantae; Streptophyta; Magnoliopsida; Cornales; Cornaceae. The record is from RefSeq and is a predicted model, not a curated record. The transcript has 4 exons.
UGAUGGGUCACCAAAAAAACAAAAUAUUUUUAGGGCAAAUCAUUUCAGCCUCCCCAAUCGCCUCAUCUCUACUCUCGUUCUCGACUCUGAACUUGCCCUUUCUCUCUCUAUCUGCAGCCAAAAUCUAGAAGAAUGAGAAGUUCAAAAACCAUAUAUUUCAGUUUAUCUAUCUGUCUACAAGAAUCAAAAGUUCAAAACCUAUUACCUAUAUCAAGACCCAUAUCGGCAUAUCAUUUCAGAUUGUUCAAAAAAUCAAAACCCAUAUCUUUCAGUUUCCAUAGCCCGCUGUUCCAGUUCGGGUUCGCCGUUCGCAAGUUUCAGCCGCUGCCUCUCAACUCUCAAGCUUGCCCCCUCUCUCUCUCUGCAACUGCUAACUUGGUUAGCAUCGGGCCUUAACAUUUAGCAAGGAUAAGGUUCAAGAAACAUACCUCCUCAGUCAUCAGGUCUCUUUUCUGAAAGAAGAGAAUUGAUGGGAAUGGGUGGAGCAGGGAAAAAGAAAAUAGGAUAUUAGCUCAAUUUUGCCAAUAUAUAUCCGUCAACCACAUAGCUGUCUAUGUGAUGCGCUUCGUGGAUGUUCUCUUGAGCUUCAUUACAAUUCCUAUUGGAACCAUUAUUAGACUCACCCUUGAAGUAGCAUCGAAAUGGGAGAUUGGUUGCCUGAACAAGUUAUACUAAAGUAUUGAGAAUCUUGAUAAUAAACAUUUGCAGGGUGUGAACAAGGACAUGCUGCUAUAGCCUCGGAGUGCUGCUGAAAUUUACUGCAAAAACCUUGAACAAAAUUUUGUUAAUAGUACUACUAAUGAGUACUAUGGAUUGGUACUAUAUGCACGUUUUGUAAGAAUUUGAUAAUACAUUAUUAGAUUCAUUUUUUAACAAGUUAAGCUUUUUAAUCGAAA